RNAcentral lists this transfer RNA (70 nucleotides) under Mastomys natalensis (African soft-furred rat). RNAcentral describes it as "tRNA-Gln". It matches the Rfam family "tRNA". From Rfam's summary of the family: Transfer RNA (tRNA) molecules are approximately 80 nucleotides in length. Their secondary structure includes four short double-helical elements and three loops (D, anti-codon, and T loops). The record is from RNAcentral. Lineage: Eukaryota; Metazoa; Chordata; Mammalia; Rodentia; Muridae.
UAGGAUAUAGUGUACUGGUAGCACGAAGAAUUUUGAAUUCUUAGGUUAGGUUCAAUUCCUGUUAUUCUAG